GUAUGUGAGGUUGAUCUGGCUGCAACAUCUGUCACCCCAUUGAUCAUCUGGGUUGAUUUGGCUGAUCUGGCUGGCUAGGCAGGUGUCCCCUUCCUCCCUCACUGCUCCAUGUAUGUCCCUCCCAAAGGUGCACACUUGGUCAAAGAGGACAACCUACAGACUGGCCUUUGGUUGAGGUUAUAUGAGUAGCUGCACGUCUCUCCUAGAACCUCCAAACAAGCUUUCAAAAGGCCAAAUACUACACCAGAAACUAAACUCCCUAUCUUUGCUUCACCUUGCUGGGAACCUGAAGGAAG
Erinaceus europaeus (western European hedgehog) is the source of this 296-nucleotide non-coding RNA. The record is from Rfam. Lineage: Eukaryota; Metazoa; Chordata; Mammalia; Eulipotyphla; Erinaceidae.